Molecule: ribosomal RNA, 305 nt
Filed under: uncultured bacterium
Lineage: Bacteria
Description: bacterial SSU rRNA
Rfam family: Bacterial small subunit ribosomal RNA
Source: RNAcentral
ACCUACGGGGCGCAGCAGUAGGGAAUCUUCCACAAUGGACGAAAGUCUGAUGGAGCAACGCCGCGUAUAGGAAGAAGGUUUUCGGAUUGUAAACUAUUGUCGUGAGGGAAGAAAUUGACAGUACCUCAGGAGGAAGCUCCGGCUAACUAUGUGCCAGCAGCCGCGGUAAUACAUAGGGAGCAAGCGUUAUCCGGAUUUAUUGGGUGUAAAGGGUGCGUAGACGGGAAAUUAAGUUAGUUGUGAAAUCCCUCGGCUUAACUGAGGAACUGCAACUAAAACUGGUUUUCUUGAGUACUGGAGAGGAA